Molecule: small nuclear RNA, 155 nt
Filed under: Cervus elaphus hippelaphus
Lineage: Eukaryota; Metazoa; Chordata; Mammalia; Artiodactyla; Cervidae
Rfam family: U1 spliceosomal RNA
About the family: U1 is a small nuclear RNA (snRNA) component of the spliceosome (involved in pre-mRNA splicing).
Source: RNAcentral
AUACUUACCUGGCAGGGGAGAUACCAUGAUCACGAAGGUGGUUUUCCCAGGGCGAGGCUUAUCCAUUGCACUCCAGAUGUGCUGACCCCUGCGAUUUCCCCAAAUGUGGGAAACUCGACUGCAUAAUUUUGUGGUAGUGGGGGACUGCGUUCGCG